GCCUAGGGGCGCAGCAGUGAGGAAUAUUGGUCAAUGGCCGCAGGGCUGUACCAGCCAAGUCGCGUGAGGGAAGACGGCCCUACGGGUUGUAAACCUCUUUUGUCGGGGAGCAAAGAGAGUCACGUGUGACUCAUUGAGAGUACCCGAAGAAAAAGCAUCGGCUAACUCCGUGCCAGCAGCCGCGGUAAUACGGAGGAUGCGUGCGUUAUCCGGAUUUAUUGGGUUUAAAGGGUGCGCAGGCGGAGGUGCAAGUCAGCGGUCAAAUUGCGGGGCUCAACCCCGUACUGCCGUUGAAACUGCAUCCC
This 305-nucleotide ribosomal RNA is filed under the name uncultured bacterium. RNAcentral's name for it is "bacterial SSU rRNA". It matches the Rfam family "Bacterial small subunit ribosomal RNA", at positions 337 to 641 of the family's 1533-position model. The record is from RNAcentral.